CCCGCGGAGUUCACAGGUAUCCAGAGGCGUCAGGCUGGCUUCCUUCUACAACCUGUUCCGGACCAGCGGCGGGGUGGCGCUGGGGGGCGUGGACCGCAGAAGUCGAGCUUGGGGCCCUGCGAGGCGCCUGCUCCGCGGACCCACGUGCGGCGGCUUUGAGGGGCGGAAAGGAAGGAAUCAUGGAGCUGCCACUUUGCAGCCCAAGUGAUGCCUCGGGGUCGGCCCCUCGAAUACCCCGCGCCGCGGACGUAUUCCUUAUAACUACUCGAGGCCAUCUGGCUCGUGGAAAAUAAUGGUGACGUUCCAAUAUCAAAACAGGUGAUUUUAGGGCAUGUUUCGAGUGUCUGAGAGAACGACCCACUUGCCCAUUUUUAAAAAUCAGUCCAAGAAGCCUGCUGGAGAAAGAACAGUGCGGUGAAAAUAUAUUCGAGUUUGAUAAACAUCUUGCUCUUCUGACAAGACAAUUGAUUAGAGCUCGUCUGUUCAUCUAAAUUGAUCAGCUCAGCUCAGAAGUAAAAGGAUGUGUCUCAUUCCUGCAAGCCUAGACCGCCUCUCUUUCCCCCUGCACCUCCAUAAUUUCCAGGGAGCGGAGUUCUUACAAUGAGUCCAGAGCAGACAUUUCCCAGAAACACCUGCUAGAAAUUAUCAAAGGCAAACAUGACGAUACCGUCCCAUCUUCUCUACCCCCCGAGACGCCACAAUACGCCUCCUUUACGUGGAAGUCAGGUGGGUCUGCUUAAUAAUAUUGAUGUCUUUGCUUUUAUAGGUCUCUUUUUUCCACUAUAAAUAUACAUGCUCACUACUGCAAAUUUAGAAAUAGAGGAAAAGCAUUUGUAAAAAUUUAAUAAUAUCUAAUCUGGGGACAGAAGUUUAAAUAACCUGAAAUGGAAUGUCCGAGGGAAAGGAAUGUACUGGAAGUGAGGAGGUUUGGAUUCUGGUCCAACCCUGCUAUAACUAGCUGGGGUGACCUCAAGUGAGUGAUUUAUUCUUGAUGAAUUUUUUUCUUCACUUGUAAAAGGAAAGGCAGGGCCCGGCACACCCAAGCUUAUAGCAUUCUAAGGUCACGGGACAGUUAAGCAGGCAGAUGCGUUAACCUCGCUGCCCGGGGUCCCGUUCCCAGCACUGCCAUUCAGGAGUUGUUGGAGCCUGUUUCAUAGCCUGUCCAUGUCCCAGUGUCCCCAUCCAUCAAUGACGAUGGUGGUCAUCUCUCUCACAUGCUG
This is a long non-coding RNA of Myotis myotis, 1220 nucleotides long. RefSeq lists it as uncharacterized. The record is from RefSeq and is a predicted model, not a curated record. Lineage: Eukaryota; Metazoa; Chordata; Mammalia; Chiroptera; Vespertilionidae. The transcript is spliced from 3 exons.